CCCUUAGAUGUUCUGGGCCGCACGCGUGCUACACUGAGUGGAUCAGCGGGUCAGGUUGCGCGAAAGCGUUUCCUAAUCUUUAAAUCCGCUCGUGAUGGGGAUUGACGGUUGCAAUUUUCUGUCAUGAACGAGGAAUACCUUGUAAGCGCGGGUCAUCAUCCCGCGCUGAAUACGUCCCUGCCCUUUGUACACACCGCCCGUCGCUCCUACCGAUUGAGUGGUCCGGUGAAUACUUCGGACUGCAACCGGUGCGGUUUCCGUACCCUUUGCAAAAAGUUGAAUAAACCUUAUCACUUAGAGGAAGGAGAAGUCGUAACA
This 318-nucleotide ribosomal RNA is filed under the name uncultured eukaryote. RNAcentral describes it as "partial 18S ribosomal RNA". It matches the Rfam family "Eukaryotic small subunit ribosomal RNA", at positions 1470 to 1796 of the family's 1831-position model. The record is from RNAcentral.